GGUUGGGUCUCUUGCAAGAAGGGCCAGCGAACCCCGCCAGGUCCGGAAGGAAGCAACGGUAGUUAGGAUGUCUUCGUGUGCGUGAGUGCCUAAUCCUA
RNAcentral lists this signal recognition particle RNA (98 nucleotides) under Puniceicoccales bacterium. Its description in RNAcentral is "signal recognition particle sRNA small type". It matches the Rfam family "Bacterial small signal recognition particle RNA". Rfam says of the family: The signal recognition particle (SRP) is a universally conserved ribonucleoprotein involved in the co-translational targeting of proteins to membranes. Archaeal SRP consists of a 7S RNA and homologues of the eukaryotic SRP19 and SRP54 proteins. The record is from RNAcentral. Lineage: Bacteria; Pseudomonadati; Verrucomicrobiota; Opitutia; Puniceicoccales.